UACGUAGGGACAAGCGUUGUCCGGAAUCACUGGGCGUAAAGGGCACGCAGGCGGUCUAUCAAGCAGGAUGUGAAAGGCAGGAGCUCAACUCCUUGCACGGCAACCUGAACUGACAGACUAGAGUAUUGGAGAGGCAGGCAGAAUUCCUGGUGUAGCGGUGAAAUGCGUAGAGAUCAGGAGGAAUACCGGAGGCGAAGGCGGCCUGCUGGACAAAUACUGACGCUGAGGUGCGAAAGCGUGGGGAGCAAA
RNAcentral lists this ribosomal RNA (249 nucleotides) under uncultured prokaryote. Its description in RNAcentral is "partial 16S ribosomal RNA". It matches the Rfam family "Bacterial small subunit ribosomal RNA", at positions 524 to 772 of the family's 1533-position model. The record is from RNAcentral.